This 82-nucleotide transfer RNA is filed under the name Blattella germanica (German cockroach). RNAcentral describes it as "tRNA-Asn (GTT) (tRNA-Asn-GTT-17-1)". It matches the Rfam family "tRNA". Rfam says of the family: Transfer RNA (tRNA) molecules are approximately 80 nucleotides in length. Their secondary structure includes four short double-helical elements and three loops (D, anti-codon, and T loops). The record is from RNAcentral. Lineage: Eukaryota; Metazoa; Arthropoda; Insecta; Blattodea; Blattellidae.
GACGAGGUGGCCGAGUGGUUAAGGCGUUGGACUGUUAAUCGAAUAUGCUCUGCAUGCGUGGGUUCGAAUGAUAUCCUCGUCG